GUAAGAAUGCCAGAGAAUUUAUAUGGGAUUGGUUUAGGUCCGAUUUAUAGUGGUGUCACUUUCUUAUU
This 68-nucleotide transfer RNA is filed under the name Rhinebothroides sp. MZUSP 8027. RNAcentral's name for it is "tRNA-Leu". The record is from RNAcentral. RNAcentral also lists the same sequence under 2 other names. Lineage: Eukaryota; Metazoa; Platyhelminthes; Cestoda; Rhinebothriidea; Rhinebothriidae.